RNAcentral lists this ribosomal RNA (443 nucleotides) under uncultured bacterium. Its description in RNAcentral is "partial 16S ribosomal RNA". It matches the Rfam family "Bacterial small subunit ribosomal RNA", at positions 338 to 795 of the family's 1533-position model. The record is from RNAcentral.
CCUACGGGUGGCAGCAGUGGGGAAUAUUGGGCAAUGGGCGCAAGCCUGACCCAGCAAAGCCGCGUGCAGGAAGAAGGCCCUCGGGUUGUAAACUUCUUUUGUUAGGGACGAAACAAAUGACGGUAGCUGUCGAUUAAGCCACGGCUAACUACGUGCAAGCAGCCGCGGUAUUACGUAGGUGGCAAGUGUUAUCCGGUUUUACUGGGUGUAAAGGGAGUGUAGGCGGGAGAGCAAGUCAGAUGUGAAAUCCCAGGGCUCAACCCUGGAACUGCAUUUGAAACUGUUUUUCUUGAGUGAUGGAGAGGCAGGCGGAAUUCCGUGUGUAGCGGUGAAAUGCGUAGAUAUACGGAGGAACACCAGUGGCGAAGGCGGCCUGCUGGACAUUAACUGACGCUGAGGCUCGAAAGCGUGGGGAGCAAACAGGAUUAGAUACCCCAGUAGUC